AUCAGUUCUCCUGGCUUUGAUCAAAUAUUAACCGAGCUGUGUGAGUCUGAAAGUGUGUGUGAGGUGUUUAACCAGCAGAAGCGAGUGCUGUUAAUGACUGGGUCGUGAUGAUUCAGUCAGUAAAGCCUCGACACACUGCUGUUAUGAGGAGGAGCUGAUUAUGUGUCUCGCAUAUCAAAGUUCAGACCAGGUCUUUAUGAGAAUGAGUCGAUGAGAUCAGGCGGAUGCAGAUAAUGCAGCGGGUUGACGCAGAGGAUUCUGGGAAAGUCAUGUUCUAUCUCGACUAUAAGUUUUUCCUGCAGAAAUGUUUGACUGUUGUCUGAUGUGCAUUACUGGAUCCUCUGGUGAGGUUUAUGGUUCUGACUGUCCUCUGGAUUCUCUGAGGAAAGUUGAAGAUGCGAGUAAAUCCUCC
Molecule: non-coding RNA, 412 nt
Organism: Pimephales promelas (fathead minnow)
Lineage: Eukaryota; Metazoa; Chordata; Actinopteri; Cypriniformes; Leuciscidae
Source: RefSeq, a predicted model, not a curated record